This 1020-nucleotide ribosomal RNA is filed under the name Sphaerellopsis artemisiae. RNAcentral describes it as "SSU rRNA". It matches the Rfam family "Eukaryotic small subunit ribosomal RNA", at positions 74 to 1104 of the family's 1831-position model. The record is from RNAcentral. Lineage: Eukaryota; Fungi; Ascomycota; Dothideomycetes; Pleosporales; Leptosphaeriaceae.
UUAUACCGUGAAACUGCGAAUGGCUCAUUAAAUCAGUUAUCGUUUAUUUGAUAGUACCUUACUACUUGGAUAACCGUGGUAAUUCUAGAGCUAAUACAUGCUGAAAACCCCGACUUCGGAAGGGGUGUAUUUAUUAGAUAAAAAACCAACGCCCUUCGGGGCUUCUUGGUGAUUCAUGAUAACUUUACGGAUCGCAUGGCCUUGCGCCGGCGACGGUUCAUUCAAAUUUCUGCCCUAUCAACUUUCGAUGGUAAGGUAUUGGCUUACCAUGGUUUCAACGGGUAACGGGGAAUUAGGGUUCGAUUCCGGAGAGGGAGCCUGAGAAACGGCUACCACAUCCAAGGAAGGCAGCAGGCGCGCAAAUUACCCAAUCCCGACACGGGGAGGUAGUGACAAUAAAUACUGAUACAGGGCUCUUUUGGGUCUUGUAAUUGGAAUGAGUACAAUUUAAACCUCUUAACGAGGAACAAUUGGAGGGCAAGUCUGGUGCCAGCAGCCGCGGUAAUUCCAGCUCCAAUAGCGUAUAUUAAAGUUGUUGCAGUUAAAAAGCUCGUAGUUGAAACUUGGGCCUGGCUGGCAGGUCCGCCUCACCGCGUGUACUUGUCCGGCCGGGCCUUCCUUCUGGAGAACCUCAUGCCCUUCACUGGGCGUGUUGGGGACCAGGACUUUUACUUUGAAAAAAUUAGAGUGUUCAAAGCAGGCCUUUGCUCGAAUACGUUAGCAUGGAAUAAUAGAAUAGGACGUGCGGUCCUAUUUUGUUGGUUUCUAGGACCGCCGUAAUGAUUAAUAGGGACAGUCGGGGGCAUCAGUAUUCAAUUGUCAGAGGUGAAAUUCUUGGAUUUAUUGAAGACUAACUACUGCGAAAGCAUUUGCCAAGGAUGUUUUCAUUAAUCAGUGAACGAAAGUUAGGGGAUCGAAGACGAUCAGAUACCGUCGUAGUCUUAACCGUAAACUAUGCCGACUAGGGAUCGGGCGAUGUUCUUUUUCUGACUCGCUCGGCACCUUACGAGAAAUCAAAGU